Molecule: ribosomal RNA, 905 nt
Filed under: uncultured crenarchaeote
Lineage: Archaea; Thermoproteati; Thermoproteota
Description: bacterial SSU rRNA
Rfam family: Archaeal small subunit ribosomal RNA
Source: RNAcentral
CCUUACUGCUAUCGGGACGAGACUAAGACAUGCUAGUUGCGCGCUCCCUAGCCACGUUGGGAGCGCAGCGAACGGCUCCGUAACACGUAGUCAAUCUGCCCUUAGGACGGGGAUAACCCCGGGAAACUGGGGCUAAUACCCGAUAGGCGGAAAAGCCUGGAAUGGCCUUCCACCUAAAGGGUCUUAGGAACAUGCUCCUAACGCCGCCUAAGGAUGAGACUGCGGCCGAUCAGGUUGUUGGUGGGGUAACGGCCUACCAAGCCUAUAACCGGUACGGGCCCUGAGAGGGGGAGCCCGGAGAUGGGAACUGAGACAAGGUCCCAGACCCUACGGGGUGCAGCAGUCGCGAAACCUCUACAAUGCACGAAAGUGUGAUAGGGUUAUCCCGAGUGCCGUCCGAUGAGGAUGGCUUUUCCCCGGUGUAAGGAACCGGGGGAAUAAAGGGGGGGCAAGACUGGUGUCAGCCGCCGCGGUAAUACCAGCCCCCUGAGUGGUAGGGACGAUAUUUGGCCUAAAGCGUUCGUAGCCGGCUCAGCAAGUCUUUCGUUAAAUCCGGCGACUUAAUCGUCGGGCCGCGAGAGAUACUACUAGGCUAGAGGACGGGAGAGGUCGACGGUAUUCCGGGGGUAGGGGUAAAAUCCUAUAAUCCUCGGAGGACCACCAGUGGCGAAGGCGGUCGACUAGAACGUGCCUGACGGUGAUGGACGAAAGCUGGGGGAGCAAACCGGAUUAGACACCCGGGUAGUCCCAGCCGUAAACGAUGCGGGCUAGGUGUUGGGUCAGCCACGAGCUGCUCCAGUGCCGCAGAGAAGUCCUUAAGCCCGCCGCCUGGGAAGUACGGUCGCAAGGCUGAAACUUAAAGGAAUUGGCGGGGGAGCACCACAAGGGGUGAAGCCUGCGGUUCA